GAUCCAAUAGCUUAGUGGUAAAGCAUGCAUCUGAUAAGUGCGGGAUCGUUGGUUCGACUCCAAUUUGGAUCA
Molecule: non-coding RNA, 72 nt
Organism: Schistocerca gregaria
Lineage: Eukaryota; Metazoa; Arthropoda; Insecta; Orthoptera; Acrididae
Source: the annotation of a RefSeq genome assembly